Rosa chinensis is the source of this 456-nucleotide long non-coding RNA. RefSeq lists it as uncharacterized. The transcript has 4 exons. The record is from RefSeq and is a predicted model, not a curated record. NCBI's taxonomy places the organism in Eukaryota, Viridiplantae, Streptophyta, Magnoliopsida, Rosales, Rosaceae.
UAACCGACCUCUUUUGUGCAUGUUUAAAACAGCACAUUAGCUCAAGUGUUGGGGCUCCAAAGGUUAAAGUGGACGUUGGAGCUUGAAGGCUGCAUAUAUUCAAGAAGUUGGAAAGACGUUUGGAGACUUAAGGAUUCUGCUAUGAGAUUUAAGAAACAAUGAAAUUUGUACUCAUCAACAAGAUAACAACUCCAGCUCCAGCAUUUUGUGCAGCUACAAUGACUGGUAACUAAAAGUUUGGAUCAACUCCAACAUUUUGUACAAUGACAAUUGGAGCAGCCACUUUUUAUGCCUACUUCAGCAACAACUUUUGCUGACUUAGAACUAAACCUUUUGUAAAGCUACAACUGAAGCAGCCAACCUUGUUGUACAACUAGCAUUUCUGAACCAACUCCAGUGGCAACUUUUUUAUGUUAACCUGUUUUUUUAAUACACUUUUGUUAGAUUAACCUUUGG